Non-coding RNA from Boleophthalmus pectinirostris (great blue-spotted mudskipper), 1730 nucleotides. The record is from the annotation of a RefSeq genome assembly. Lineage: Eukaryota; Metazoa; Chordata; Actinopteri; Gobiiformes; Gobiidae.
AUGGACACACUCACUCUGCUGUGGGCUGCUCUCUGUCUGAUCUGUGUGAAGUGUGAGACACUGACACAGCCAACCUCUGUGACUGUGCAGCCAGGACACACUCUCACCAUCCCCUGUACUGUCUCAUACUCUCUUGGCUACUGGACAGCAUGGAUCAGACAGCCUGCUGGGAAAGGCCUGGAGUGGAUUGGAAUGAAAUACACAGGAGGCUCUCACUAUAAAGAUUCUCUGAAGAGCAAAUUCAGUAUUGAUUUAGACACUUCCACAAAAACAGUGACUCUGAAUGGACAGAACAUGCAGCCUGGAGACACUGCAGUGUACUACUGUGCUCGAGAGCCACAGUCACACAAAGUAUAUGUAGAGCUGUACAAAAACAGUAAAGAGUGCAAUUCACAGAUGAAGACCAAAUGACUUCUUCUGUGUGAUCAUCACAGCAAACCAGUCACACAGCAACAUGAGAGACUUUUUCUAUGUGUGGACACCAGGUAAAAGACUGAAUACAGAAAACUGUAUUUGUAUGUAGAAAAAAAAACUAAAAUAAUAUUGAUAAUGAUCAUAAAUGUGUAUGGGGAAAUUUAUUUCAAAAGUUUUCUAGCAUUUAAGUUAAAUUCUAUAAUAAGUUUAAAAAGUUGGUGCAAGUUAACAUAUAUACAAAUUUAAGAAUUAGUAAAGUGGUUUCACAGUGAAAUUAGACUAAUAAUGAAAUCGUCCUGAGCUCGAGCUGAGCAGCAGUUAGAGUGACAGACAGACAGUUCAGUGUUUCUGUGCAGAGGUGAAUCAUUGUGCAUAUAGCAGCGGCCACAGUGAAAAACACCAUGACAAAAACAUGAGUGCAGGAGCAUCUACAAUCCUGAAAUACUUCUACAGCUAUAGAGCUAUAAACCACAAAAAAACAAACAAACUCUAAGUUAAAAUCAUAAUGCACAUGGAGCUGAUAAUAUUUAGUUUCAUUCUUUCAUCCAAGAUUCUUUUAUAUGUGUUAGUUUUCCAUCAGCUACAAUCACCAGAGGAGAGUUGUGAUAUGGCAAUACUCAGGUCAUAGUUAAAAUAUUUUAAACUUCAACUACAGCACAGCAACAUGCAACCUGAACUCAAGUCUCUAUAUUACUUUAUCCACAGAUGCAGCCCGUGUCCCGGUGCAUCUAUAACAUCCCCCUAACACCCCCACUGCUCUGCUUUUACUAUGUUAUAUCUAUAUAGUGGAAAAAAUGAAAUAGCAAUGAUUUCUUUCAGGAUACUGUUAUGUUUUGUGUUUGACAGUGAGAAAGCUGUAACAGAAUGUAACGUCAGAAGAUGAAAAUGGUAUUAAUAUUUAUUGGUUUUAUGGAUCCAUUUAGACCACUAACAGAUCAGAACUGUCUUUAUUUCCAGUGUAGUUUUUGUUCAGCUCCUCCCUGUGACUCUCUCAUGUGUUUGUGUGUCAUCUACAGAUAGACAUAUCAGUGAACAAUGACUCAUAGAUUCAGAUCAAAUCAUUUGCAUUUGUUUAUAACCUGUGUCACUGUUUUAUGUGCAUAAUACUAGACUAGACUAACUAGAUUCACAAGACAAACAUGAAACAACAAACAACAAUUAAAACAUCACAUUUGAUUCAAGUGUGUGUCUGUUCAGAUUCUAGUUGUGUGUGUGUCAGUGAUCAUGAAAUCCUCCUGAUGUUGCAGCAUUAGUUAUAGUGACAAACAGCAGGGGGAGUUUAUGUGCAGAGGUGGAUCACGGUGAGUUUACAGUGG